RNAcentral lists this ribosomal RNA (350 nucleotides) under Oxymeris chlorata. RNAcentral describes it as "partial 12S ribosomal RNA". Lineage: Eukaryota; Metazoa; Mollusca; Gastropoda; Neogastropoda; Terebridae. The record is from RNAcentral.
UACCAGAGUACUAUGAAUGAUAUAGAAUUUAAAACUCAAAGAACUUGGCGGUGUUUUAGACCAUUUAGGGGAACCUGUCUCGUAAUCGACAGUCCACGUUACACCUGACCUUUUUUUGUUUCCAGUUUGUAUACCGUUGUCGUCAGGUAACUUUUUAGAAAGUAGAAGUUGGCUAUAUAAAUAUAAUGGUUUAGUACGUCAAAUCAAGGUGCAGCUAAUAAAAGGGGGAGGAUGGGUUACAAUUAUAGAAUCAUAAUGACGGAUAUUUAUAUGAAAGUGUAAAUUAUGAAGGCGGACUUAAAAGUAAAUUGGAUUAUGCAAACAAGUUUGAAUGCGGCUCUGAAACGUGU